RNAcentral lists this unclassified non-coding RNA (285 nucleotides) under plant metagenome. Its description in RNAcentral is "partial contains small subunit ribosomal RNA, internal transcribed spacer 1, and 5.8S ribosomal RNA". The stretch from base 1 to 54 matches the Rfam family "Eukaryotic small subunit ribosomal RNA", at positions 1778 to 1831 of the family's 1831-position model. The record is from RNAcentral.
GGAAGUAAAAGUUGUAACAAGGUUUCCGUAGGUGAACCUGCGGAAGGAUCAUUAUUGUAUAACCGAGGUGCGAGGGCUGUCGCUGACCCGAAAGGUCGUGCACGCCCGAGUGCCCUCACACACAUCCAUCUCACUCCUAUGUGCACCACCGCGUGGGUCCCCCUUUGGCUUGUUCGGAGGGGGGCUUACGUUUUCACACAAACUUUGUAUGCAGUGUAGAAUGUAUUUUUUGUUUUUGCGAUCACGCAAUCAAUACAACUUUCAACAACGGAUCUCUUGGCUCUC